ACCUGUUAAAUGCAUUGCAUACCAUGUUCUUCCUUAGAAAAUAUAACCAUUCAAAAAUUCAUAGAAGCUCAUCGUACAUACAAAAUCAUUGACUAUUUAAAUAAAAGACAAAUAUGUAAAUAGCAAAACUCAAAUCACAAAAAGUUUAUUGGCCUUAUCUAAUCAAACUCCCUCUGGAUCACAAAUUACUGUGUUGAAGGACCAUGCUAAAAGCAAUAAGGACAAAUAAGACGCAAAAACUGCUUAGAUUUGUGGGUUUGCAG
RNAcentral lists this unclassified non-coding RNA (263 nucleotides) under Hevea brasiliensis (rubber tree). The record is from RNAcentral. Lineage: Eukaryota; Viridiplantae; Streptophyta; Magnoliopsida; Malpighiales; Euphorbiaceae.